RNAcentral lists this ribosomal RNA (485 nucleotides) under uncultured bacterium. Its description in RNAcentral is "partial 16S ribosomal RNA". It matches the Rfam family "Bacterial small subunit ribosomal RNA", at positions 30 to 507 of the family's 1533-position model. The record is from RNAcentral.
UUGAACGCUGGCGGCAUGCCUUACACCUGCAAGUCGAACGGCAGCACGGGUGCUUGCACCUGGUGGCGAGUGGCGAACGGGUGAGUAAUACAUCGGAACAUGUCCUGUAGUGGGGGAUAGCCCGGCGAAAGCCGGAUUAAUACCGCAUACGAUCUACGGAUGAAAGCGGGGGACCUUCGGGCCUCGCGCUAUAGGGUUGGCCGAUGGCCGAUUAGCUAGUUGGUGGGGUAAAGGCCUACCAAGGCGACGAUCAGUAGCUGGUCUGAGAGGACGACCAGCCACACUGGGACUGAGACACGGCCCAGACUCCUACGGGAGGCAGCAGUGGGGAAUUUUGGACAAUGGGCGAAAGCCUGAUCCAGCAAUGCCGCGUGUGUGAAGAAGGCCUUCGGGUUGUAAAGCACUUUUGUCCGGAAAGAAAUCCUUGGCCCUAAUACGGUCGGGGGAUGACGGUACCGGAAGAAUAAGCACCGGCUAACUACGUG